RNAcentral lists this ribosomal RNA (487 nucleotides) under alpha proteobacterium mB4. RNAcentral's name for it is "bacterial SSU rRNA". It matches the Rfam family "Bacterial small subunit ribosomal RNA", at positions 378 to 884 of the family's 1533-position model. Lineage: Bacteria; Pseudomonadati; Pseudomonadota; Alphaproteobacteria; Hyphomicrobiales. RNAcentral also lists the same sequence under 2 other names. The record is from RNAcentral.
GCAACCUGAUCCAGCCAUGCCGCGUGAGUGAUGAAGGCCUUCGGGUUGUAAAGCUCUUUUGGCGGGGACGAUGAUGACGGUACCCGCAGAAUAAGCCCCGGCUAACUUCGUGCCAGCAGCCGCGGUAAGACGAAGGGGGCUAGCGUUGUUCGGAAUUACUGGGCGUAAAGCGAGUGUAGGUGGUUGUUCAAGUUGGAUGUGAAAGCCUUGAGCUCAACUCAAGAAAUGCAUUCAGGACUGAGCGACUAGAGGACCGGAGAGGAUAGUGGAAUUCCCAGUGUAGUGGUGAAAUACGUAGAGAUUGGGAAGAACACCAGUGGCGAAGGCGGCUAUCUGGACGGUUUCUGACACUAAGACUCGAAAGCGUGGGGAGCAAACAGGAUUAGAUACCCUGGUAGUCCACGCCGUAAACGAUGGGUGCUAGACGUUGGCGAGCUUGCUCGUCAGUGUCGCAGCUAACGCGUUAAGCACCCCGCCUGGGAGUACG